GUCGGGAUAGCUCAGCUGGUAGAGCAGAGGACUGAAAAUCCUC
This 43-nucleotide transfer RNA is filed under the name Maclura pomifera (Osage orange). Its description in RNAcentral is "partial tRNA-Phe". It matches the Rfam family "tRNA", at positions 1 to 42 of the family's 71-position model. From Rfam's summary of the family: Transfer RNA (tRNA) molecules are approximately 80 nucleotides in length. The record is from RNAcentral. Lineage: Eukaryota; Viridiplantae; Streptophyta; Magnoliopsida; Rosales; Moraceae. RNAcentral also lists the same sequence under 48 other names.